RNAcentral lists this ribosomal RNA (409 nucleotides) under uncultured bacterium. RNAcentral's name for it is "bacterial SSU rRNA". It matches the Rfam family "Bacterial small subunit ribosomal RNA", at positions 28 to 432 of the family's 1533-position model. The record is from RNAcentral.
GAUGAACGCUAGCGGCAGGCCUAAUACAUGCAAGCCGAACGGUAAUUCUGAUAGCAAUAUUGGAACUAGAGUGGCGUAAGGGUGCGUAACACGUAUGCAAUCUACCCGCAACAGGAGGAUAGCUCCCCGAAAGGGGAAUUAACCCUCCAUGAGAUCACACGAGGGCAUCCGAGAGUGAUUAAAUUUGAGGAGGUUGUGGAUGAGCAUGCGACUGAUAGCUAGUUGGCAGUGUAACGGACUACCAAGGCGAUGAUCAGUAGGGGAACUGAGAGGUUGAUCCCCCACACUGGCACUGAGAUACGGGCCAGACUCCUACGGGAGGCAGCAGUAAGGGAAUAUUGGUCAAUGGGUGAGAGCCUGAACCAGCCAUGCCGCGUGCAGGAAGAAGGCCUUUCUGGGUUGUAAACUG